GGGGUGCACCAGGCGCGAAAACUUUACAAUGCGGGAAACCGUGAUAAGGGGACACCGAGUGCCAGCAUCAUAUGCUGGCUGUCCAGGUGUGUAAAAUACACCUGUUAGCAAGGGCCGGGCAAGACCGGUGCCAGCCGCCGCGGUAACACCGGCGGCCCGAGUGGUGAUCGUGAUUAUUGGGUCUAAAGGGUCCGUAGCCGGUUUGGUCAGUCCUCCGGGAAAUCUGACGGCUCAACCGUUAGGCUUUCGGGGGAUACUGCCAGGCUUGGAACCGGGAGAGGUAAGAGGUACUACAGGGGUAGGAGUGAAAUCUUGUAAUCCCUGUGAGACCACCUGUGGCGAAGGCGUCUUACCAGAACGGGUUCGACGGUGAGGGACGAAAGCUGGGGGCACGAACCGGAUUAGAUACCCGGGUAGUCCCAGCCGUAAACGAUGCUCGCUAGGUGUCAGGCAUGGCGCGACCGUGUCUGGUGCCGCAGGGAAGCCGUGAAGCGAGCCACCUGGGAAGUACGGCCGCAAGGCUGAAACUUAAAGGAAUUGGCGGGGGAGCACAAGGGCGAAUCGCG
Molecule: ribosomal RNA, 566 nt
Filed under: uncultured archaeon
Lineage: Archaea
Description: bacterial SSU rRNA
Rfam family: Archaeal small subunit ribosomal RNA
Source: RNAcentral